Molecule: ribosomal RNA, 344 nt
Filed under: uncultured archaeon
Lineage: Archaea
Description: bacterial SSU rRNA
Rfam family: Archaeal small subunit ribosomal RNA
Source: RNAcentral
UCGCGAAAACUUUACAAUGCUGGCAACAGCGAUAAGGGAACCUCGAGUGCCAGGUUACAAAUCUGGCUGUCGAGAUGCCUAAAAAGCAUUUCAUAGCAAGGGCCGGGCAAGACCGGUGCCAGCCGCCGCGGUAACACCGGCGGCUCGAGUGGUAACCGUUAUUAUUGGGUCUAAAGGGUCUGUAGCCGGCCGGAUAAGUCUCUUGAGAAAUCUGGCAGCUUAACUGUCAGGCUUUCAGGAGAUACUGUCUGGCUCGAGGCCGGGAGAGGUGAGAGGUACUUCAGGGGUAGGGGUGAAAUCUUGUAAUCCUUGAAGGACCACCAGUGGCGAAGGCGUCUCACCAG